AAAGGAAUAGACGGGGGCCCGCACAAGCAGUGGAGUAUGUGGUUUAAUUCGAAGCAACGCGAAGAACCUUACCAGGUCUUGACAUCCGAUGCAUAGCACAGAGAUGUGUGAAAUCCUUCGGGACAUCGAGACAGGUGGUGCAUGGUUGUCGUCAGCUCGUGUCGUGAGAUGUUGGGUUAAGUCCCGCAACGAGCGCAACCCUUAUUGCCAGUUACUACGUUAAGAGGACUCUGGCGAGACUGCCGUUGACAAAACGGAGGAAGGUGGGGAUGACGUCAAAUCAUCAUGCCCUUUAUGACCUGGGCUACACACGUACUACAAUGGCGUUAAACAAAGAGAAGCAAGACCGCGAGGUGGAGCAAAACUCAAAAACAACGUCUCAGUUCAGAUUGCAGGCUGCAACUCGCCUGCAUGAAGUCGGAAUUGCUAGUAAUCGCGGAUCAGCAUGCCGCGGUGAAUACGUUCCCGGGCCUUGUACACACCGCCCGU
Molecule: ribosomal RNA, 489 nt
Filed under: uncultured bacterium
Lineage: Bacteria
Description: bacterial SSU rRNA
Rfam family: Bacterial small subunit ribosomal RNA
Source: RNAcentral